UACGUAGGGGGCAAGCGCUAUCCGGAAUUACUGGGCGUAAAGCGCACGCAGGCGGUUCGCCAAGUUUGGAGUGACAGUUGUCGGCUCAACCGACAAAGGACUUCAAAAACUGGUGAACUUGAGGACGAGAGAGGAACAUGGAACUCCAGGUGUAGUAGUGAAAUGCGUAGAUAUCUGGAAGAACACCAAUGGCGAAGGCAAUGUUCUGGCUCGUUUCUGACGCUCAGGUGCGAAAGCCAGGGGAGCGAACGGG
RNAcentral lists this ribosomal RNA (253 nucleotides) under uncultured bacterium. Its description in RNAcentral is "partial 16S ribosomal RNA". It matches the Rfam family "Bacterial small subunit ribosomal RNA", at positions 524 to 776 of the family's 1533-position model. The record is from RNAcentral.